CAGCCGCCACGGGAAUACGAAGGGUGCAAGCGUUAAUCGGAAUUACUGGGCGUAAAGCGUGCGUAGGCGGUGAGUUAAGUCUGCUGUGAAAUCCCCGGGCUCAACCUGGGAAUGGCAGUGGAUACUGGCUCGCUAGAGUGUGUCAGAGGAUGGUGGAAUUCCCGGUGUAGCGGUGAAAUGCGUAGAGAUCGGGAGGAACAUCAGUGGCGAAGGCGGCCAUCUGGGACAACACUGACGCUGAGGCACGAAAGCGUGGGGAGCAAACAGGAUUAGAUACCCCCGUAGUCCCUGUCUCUUAUAA
This 301-nucleotide ribosomal RNA is filed under the name uncultured bacterium. Its description in RNAcentral is "partial 16S ribosomal RNA". It matches the Rfam family "Bacterial small subunit ribosomal RNA", at positions 509 to 809 of the family's 1533-position model. The record is from RNAcentral.